ACCUGACUGCUAUCGGAUUGAUACUAAGCCAUGCGAGUCAUUGUAGCAAUACAAGGCAUACGGCUCAGUAACGCGUAGUCAACCUAACCUAUGGACGGGAAUAACCUCGGGAAACUGAGAAUAAUGCCCGAUAGAACAUUAUGCCUGGAAUGGUUUAUGUUCCAAAUGAUUUAUCGCCAUAGGAUGGGACUGCGGCCUAUCAGUUUGUUGGUGAGGUAAUGGCCCACCAAGACUAUUACAGGUACGGGCUCUGAGAGGAGUAGCCCGGAGAUGGGUACUGAGACAAGGACCCAGGCCCUAUGGGGCGCAGCAGGCGAGAAAACUUUGCAAUGUGCGAAAGCACGACAAGGUUAAUCCGAGUGAUUUCUGCUAAAGAGAUCUUUUGUUAGUUCUAGAAACACUAACGAAUAAGGGGUGGGCAAGUUCUGGUGUCAGCCGCCGCGGUAAAACCAGCACCUCAAGUGGUCAGGAUGAUUAUUGGGCCUAAAGCAUCCGUAGCCGGCUCUGUAAGUUUUCGGUUAAAUCUGUACGCUCAACGUACAGGCUGCCGGGAAUACUGCAGAACUAGGGAGUGGGAGAGGUAGACGGUACUCGGUAGGAAGUGGUAAAAUGCUUUGAUCUAUCGAUGACCACCUGUGGCGAAGGCGGUCUACCAGAACACGUCCGACGGUGAGGGAUGAAAGCUGGGGGAGCAAACCGGAUUAGAUACCCGGGUAGUCCCAGCUGUAAACUAUGCAAACUCAGUGAUGCAUUGGCUUGUGGCCAAUGCAGUGCUGCAGGGAAGCCGUUAAGUUUGCCGCCUGGGAAGUACGUACGCAAGUAUGAAACUUAAAGGAAUUGGCGGGGGAGCACCACAAGGGGUGAAGCCUGCGGUUC
Molecule: ribosomal RNA, 876 nt
Filed under: uncultured crenarchaeote
Lineage: Archaea; Thermoproteati; Thermoproteota
Description: bacterial SSU rRNA
Rfam family: Archaeal small subunit ribosomal RNA
Source: RNAcentral